This is a long non-coding RNA of Eupeodes corollae, 2268 nucleotides long. RefSeq lists it as uncharacterized. The transcript is spliced from 3 exons. The record is from RefSeq and is a predicted model, not a curated record. NCBI's taxonomy places the organism in Eukaryota, Metazoa, Arthropoda, Insecta, Diptera, Syrphidae.
GCCACAUACCUUUUCGUCAAGAAUGGUACCUUGCGUGGACUUCGGGCUGGUAACUUCGCUUCAAAAGACGUCUUCGUAUUGUGACAGCGCUAACAGACAGUUGAAGUCCAUUUCUUAUUUUCCUAGAGCCUAUGGAAGGGAUCUGUUUUGCUAGCUGAACAAUUUUUCUGUCAGUUCUUUCAGUAGUCAUCCUUUUUGGACCUCGCGUUUUCGGUUUAUUUUGCCCUUUUAAGGCGCUGCUGACCAUUUUUGCUGAGCAGCCUAGGAUGUCUUGAAUAUUUUGGUAGGUUUUUCCCUCCAAACACAGUUUUCUAAUUUCUUCGGUGCAAAGUCUUGACCGUCCCAUUGUUUAUUUUUGAGCUAAUAUUUAUUAAUUUUUUAUAUGCUAGUAUGUUUAACACUUUUUACUUAUAAAAUCAAGAGCACUGCUAUUUUUAUGAACAUUCUAUAUCCAGUUUUAAAUAAUGUGUGUUCACCGGUAGAAGUAGAGUAUAACUUCAAGCUAAAAGUCUCUAAUAUGAAUACGAAAGACCGUUAGAUGCAACUGAGUCUGACAGGUGUCAAAUGACGAAUGAGCGAACUUACUCGAAUAUCUCAUAAUGAGCACACGAUCUAUCAAUGGAUUUUUCAUUCAGCAAAAUAAAGAUAACUGUAUUUAAAAAUGGUCUUAUUCCUGGGCUACAACUUAAUUGAAGAUCCGUUUGUUGCAAGCGGCGUCCGGCGCGGCGGCGCCGAUAAUAAUCUUAGUUUUUACUACCUGCCACAAAGCUCUUUCACCAAACUGUCUAAAUUUAGCUUGAUUCAAUAAUAAACCCAAUCGUUUCACCCAAAAUAGUGCGCUAAUAAAUUAUCUACACAUGUCUAGGUAGAUAAAACAUGCUUAAUUCAGAAAUUUUAAUAAAAUAACAUCAUAAUCGACAAACAGUUUUUCAAAUGAUGAAAGGACUACAAGUUUAUGGGAAAAGGAAAAACAAUAUUAAAAUUAUUUGAUUACCCAUCGGUCUUGACUUUUGCGAUACCUUCUUAUAAUAUUGUGUUGCGCCAGAAGUGUGUAAAAUGUCUUUCAUCGCAUCACCUCACCAGAAACAGCAACCGAGAAAACAAGCAAUUUUGAUCUAAUUUCUGUUUCGUUUGUUUUUUCUUUUUAUUUUAUCCCACUCGUUAAAACGGCGGCGUGGCGGAAACAUUUUUUCGAACGAAAAAUGGCAACACUAUUCAUCCUACGAUUUUUCUCUUUCUUUGCAACUAAAAGUGACAGAUGACAGUUGGGAAAGAUAUCUCCGCGUGGUGUAAUUAAACACACAACAGAACAGAUACUAGAAGAUAUCACAGAACCAGCCCACAGUGAGAGGACACACAUGCCAUAGUCAACACCACAUCCACAAUGACCAUCGUCGAUUCGAACAUGAAGCUAAUGCAGCCUGAACUGAACAAAAAUAAAUUGGCACCUGGUUCAGCAACAAAUUUUGGCUAACAUUCUGAAACCCAGAAGUGGUGAGGGGGCAUUCACUUUAUUUCCUCCUUCCCCGGUUUGCUCUAUUUAUAUUUUACAUUCAUUCGUGUUGUAUUUUUUUUUUAUUUUUCUUAGGAAAAGAGGUCAGUUUGUGCUUGAGAUUAUCAAUUAAGCGGAUUUAGAUUGGAUGACAAAGGGAGAUGACGAGAAAAUAUCUAGAGAUACAUAUUUACACAUAGCGUCUCAUCCGGCGCGGCGCGUUGUGAGUUCAGCAGAUGAUUAUGAAUUGUAUACCAAAACUUAACUCAACAGAAUUGGGAAACAAUUUGGCAGAGCUGUUUGGCUUGAUGUAUUAUUUUAUGCCGGUACUGUAGUAACCAGUAUAUUGCAUAUAUUCUACGCGGUUGUUUAUUUUUCUUCUAACCACAAAAACACAAAUCGCUAACAAUAAUUUGAAAUGAAUACAAACAACGUGAUUAGAACAUAUUAAUAAAAGUUUAUAGUUUUUUUUUCUUCUUAAUAUCAUUUAUUAGAUCCCUCUUUUUGUAUUUAUCUUCUCUGAUUUUUUGUUAUUUGCAUGAGCUGAAUAAAAAUUUGUUGUAUUUCACUUGUGUUCAAUAUAAACUGUCAAAUUGGUUUUUUUUUUUGGUGUAUUAGUUUUUAAGUUAUUCUUAACUUUAUUUUGUGCGGGAAAGUAUUUGAAAUUAUAAUUAAUUAUUAACUAUCCAAAUCUGGAAUUUUCAAAAGUUAUAAUACCGCUAAGUGCCAGAAUAACUGACAAGAAUCAAUUUGACAGCACAAAUAAUAAUGAAAUA